RNAcentral lists this ribosomal RNA (401 nucleotides) under uncultured prokaryote. Its description in RNAcentral is "bacterial SSU rRNA". It matches the Rfam family "Bacterial small subunit ribosomal RNA", at positions 355 to 774 of the family's 1533-position model. The record is from RNAcentral.
UGGGGAAUAUUGCACAAUGGGCGAAAGCCUGAUGCAGCAACGCCGCGUGAGCGAAGAAGGCCUUUGGGUCGUAAAGCUCUGUCCGGGGGGAAGAUAAUGACGGUACCCCCGGAGGAAGCCCCGGCUAACUACGUGCCAGCAGCCGCGGUAAUACGUAGGGGGCAAGCGUUAUCCGGAAUUAUUGGGCGUAAAGAGUGCGUAGGUGGUUCUUUAAGCGUGAGGUGAAAGGCAAUGGCUUAACUAUUGUAAGCCUUGCGAACUGGAGAACUUGAGUGCAGGAGAGGAAAGCGGAAUUCCUAGUGUAGCGGUGAAAUGCGUAGAUAUUAGGAGGAACACCAGUGGCGAAGGCGGCUUUCUGGACUGUAACUGACACUGAGGCACGAAAGCGUGGGGAGCAAACA